GGUCCGGCUCCGCCUCGCCCGGGCGGGACCGCCGCCUUUGUCCCGGCUCUCGGGGCACGGCGUGAGGGAGGGGAAGGGAGCCUGCCCUGCCGAAAGGCGGCUGCGGUGCGGCUGGGGCUAAGGGGCUGCCCUGUCCCUGGAGCGGAGCCCAGUGUGUUGGAGCUACGAAGUUCGCCAAGGGUCUGGAGGAUCUCACUUGAAAGGAAAGAGGGAGAUGGGCCUGAUCAGCCUCGGGAAGAGAAGCAUCACUCACUGUCUACACUGAGAAUGGUUUUGGGCCAGGAAGUGGAGACGACUAAAGGAGGAGGACAGGUCUGGAAUAAAACCCGAGUGCCACUUUGGAAGACCUCACGCCUUCUCUGUCAUCAGCAGCUGAGGCAGCCUGAAUGUCAACAUUCCCUUAGUGCAGGGAAUGUGUCCUUAAAAACUCCUUCAGGAAGCAGAGCUGCUUCUGCUCCCUCAGCCAUGGCCCAUUGCAUCAGAGCUCCUGACAAGGGACAGACACUGCCCUCCAUACCUGUGCUGCAUUUCUGGGAGGGGAUGGUCCCAUUCCCUAGGAUGAUGGAGACCUAAAUCUGUGUUAAAUCCAACAGGUUCAUCUGCACUGCCAUCAAAGUGAGGCUAAAGAGUUGGUGGGAAAGUUUAUUUUUAGUUAGAGUCCACAGCAUUACAAGUGUUGGUUUUGGCAGGCUGAAAACACCAUCCUGCCUCUAGGAGGGAAAAUUGAAAACUCUCAUAUUAAGUAGCUUAUGAAAAUUAAUCAUUACUCAAACACAUUUUAGUAGUAGAAAUUCCAUUAAGUAUUUUAUAAUCUGGUUCUGUUUUAAUUUCUUUGUCUAUAACAACCAUAAUCAAUAAAAUAUACAAUAGCCCU
Long non-coding RNA from Zonotrichia leucophrys gambelii, 874 nucleotides. RefSeq lists it as uncharacterized. Lineage: Eukaryota; Metazoa; Chordata; Aves; Passeriformes; Passerellidae. The record is from RefSeq and is a predicted model, not a curated record. The transcript is spliced from 3 exons.